UACAGAGGGUGCAAGCGUUAUUCGGAAUUACUGGGCGUAAAGCGUGCGUAGACGGUUACGUAAGUCGGGUGUGAAAGCCCCGGGCUCAACCUGGGAAUUGCAUUCGAGACUGCAUAGCUAGGGUGCGGAAGAGGGAAGCGGAAUUUCCGGUGUAGCGGUGAAAUGCGUAGAUAUCGGAAGGAACACCAGUGGCGAAAGCGGCUUCCUGGUCCAGCACCGACGUUCAGGCACGAAAGCGUGGGGAGCAAACAGG
This 253-nucleotide ribosomal RNA is filed under the name uncultured bacterium. RNAcentral describes it as "partial 16S ribosomal RNA". It matches the Rfam family "Bacterial small subunit ribosomal RNA", at positions 524 to 776 of the family's 1533-position model. The record is from RNAcentral.